CCUACGGGAGGCAGCAGUAGGGAAUAUUGGACAAUGGGUGCGAGCCUGAUCCAGCCAUGCCGCGUGCAGGAAGAAGGCCUUCUGGGUUGUAAACUGCUUUUGCCGGGGGAUAAAAGACCCAUGCGUGGGGAAUUGAAGGUACCCGGUGAAUAAGCCACGGCUAACUACGUGCCAGCAGCCGCGGUAAUACGUAGGUGGCGAGCGUUGUCCGGAUUUAUUGGGUUUAAAGGGUGCGUAGGCGGCCCCGUAAGUCAGUGGUGAAAUACGGCAGCUCAACUGUCGAGGUGCCAUUGAUACUGCGGGGCUUGAGUACAGUCGAGGUAGGCGGAAUUGACGGUGUAGCGGUGAAAUGCUUAGAUAUCGUCAAGAACACCGAUAGCGAAGGCAGCUUGCUAGGCUGUAACUGACGCUGAGGCACGAAAGUGCGGGGAUCAAACAGGAUUAGAUACCCUGGUAGUCCGCACAGUAAACGAUGGUCACUCGGUGUUGGCGGUACACGGCCAGCGCCUUAGCGAAAGCGUUAAGUGACCACCUGGGGAGUACGCCCGCAAGGGUGAAACGUCAAAUUGAAAUUGACGG
Molecule: ribosomal RNA, 579 nt
Filed under: uncultured bacterium
Lineage: Bacteria
Description: bacterial SSU rRNA
Rfam family: Bacterial small subunit ribosomal RNA
Source: RNAcentral